Stegostoma tigrinum is the source of this 4053-nucleotide RNA transcript. It is a transcript of the gene named sodium/potassium transporting ATPase interacting 2, with no coding region annotated. The record is from RefSeq and is a predicted model, not a curated record. Lineage: Eukaryota; Metazoa; Chordata; Chondrichthyes; Orectolobiformes; Stegostomatidae. The transcript is spliced from 9 exons.
CAGACCGUCCUAAUUUACCGAACACAAUUUUUGACUAAAUAUUAGUAUAUAACAAAGCCUUCAAGCAACUGAUUGGGACGUUCUCGUAAUGUCCCUGAUUGAAGUUGCCGGCAGAGGUCGCUUUGAUUGCCAGAAAUUGCCUGCAGUUCCAGCCUGACACCCUCACCGGAGAUAAGUAAAAAUAUUAUAACUACAGGCGUACACACACUAGAGGUGUGAAAAGUAUUUGUGUGGACAGAUACCAGUUGCAAAUUACUAUACGACGUCGGGAGUACGAAGGACGUAUGUGAGUUGGGGGAAGAACCUGAUGUCGAACAGACUUACAAAUACAAUAAUAAUGUAGCCCUCUGGUUUAACCAAUAGUCUUUCACUUGCCUUUAAUCUUCAAUUUUCGGUGGCGCGCGACUUGGAAAGUACUUGACUUUGGGUAUGAAACUGAAUAUCCUGUACUUUCUUACUGAGGAAAAGAAUGUAUAACGUUGAACAUAAAUUUGUGAAUAUUGUGUAGUGGAAAUAAAUGCAUCCCUCGGUGCGAGGCGGCGACUGUCUUUGGGUGGCUAAUAAAAGCAGAACGUGCUGCGAGCGUUCAGUAGGUCAACCAGUCUCCGGAGAGAGGAUGUCCACCUCACAGUUCAUUUCAGACUGUUUUUUUUCCCUGCCUCCUUUAACUCAGAAAUUAUUCGGUAGAAUAUAAUUCGGACAAAAUUAGCUUUAUCCUUCCAAUGUAAAAUAAGAUCGAUUUAAAACAUCGACGUUACACUUUGAAAGCAUUAAGUUCGAUAGUAAUUUAUUAGAAAAAGAACAACUUUCCAGCUGAAUAUUGAAUAUAUUCAGUGGUGUCAGAUUUAAUUGCUCAUGGCACAACAACCACAGUUCGACGUUAACACUGACAAUGUUACAUAAAGACAUGGCGUAAAGAGAUAUGGAUCUUAAGAAAGUGCUAACGAUAUAAUAUUGCAAGCGUACAAACUAAACAGUUUUAAAAAGCAGAUUCAUUGAAACGAUUUAUGGCAUUGUCAUUCUGCUGUUCAUUCUAAUUGUGGAAUGGCAUUUAUAUUUAAGAUUUAAAAUAUGAAGAUUUCACACAAACUGAUGGAGAGAUGGAACUAUUGAAUGCUAUUAUCUGCCCAUGGAUAGGCGUACUGUGAGAGCUAUUCGUGCUGCAAUGGCAAGUCUCGGAUUUCCAACAAGGGGGUGACGGUGCUGAUUUUGCCAGUCUGGAGCGUCAGAUGGCAUAUCUGAGCAGUUAUUGUAUGGUGUCUCCCAUCUGUAUGAGCUCCGUUGCUGUUUCUAUUCUGGUGGCAGCAAAGAAAGGGAGAAAAUAACUGGAGGACAGGGAAACAAGUUGCUGGAGUGAUUAAUCCAGCAGGAGAAACCGAGCAGGUUCGCGUCCAGUUACAUCUCGGCACCGAGUAGCAGCGGCGGGAGCGAGAGAGGUUUUUUUCUUGUCUCUCUCGUUGUUGGCAGAAACCCAGCUCCAUUUCAGCGCCGGCACCGAACAACAGAGCGAGACCGACUGGCUUGCAGAAACGAGAUUAUGAUCCGGGUCUGUUCUUCAUUUCGCCAUCAGCAGAUCCACCACCCCCUCCCCAACCCAGUCACCACCACAACCACCACCCCCACGAGUCGCGGCAUCAGCAGAGCUGGGAAAUCAUUCCCCUAGUAAGCAUCGCCAGCAGUUAGCAUCAAAGAUAAAGGAGGGGAGCCGCUGCCAGUCUUCUGACAAGUGAAUUGUCGACAGGCGAAGCCCAACCGUGCACACGGGUUCCGGUAACACCAGAGCAGCCGCAACAGAAAGAGAGUUUGCACAAGCCCUCCCACCCCCACCUCCACCUCCGGACGGCCAGCCCUCCUCUUGCUCUUGUGGUUGCUUGGCACAGGACCAGGUACCCGGCUUUGGUGAUGGUCAGGACGGGAGUGACGUGCAGUGGCCGGCGCUGAGGCCGGGUGGAGGGAGGGAGGUAGAGAGCGCGCGCCCGUCAGUCCGCCAGCCCAGGUGUUCACGAGCGUCACAAUCAGGAGCGGGCCGGGCCGCGGGCGGGAAAGCUGCAGAGAGCCGGAUCUCGCGCCCCUGUUGGACACCCUCCCCCCCACCCGUCCUCACUCUCACAUCAGCACCAACCAUGGGCUGCUGCAGCGGCAGGUGUACCCUCAUCUUCAUCUCCAGCCUGCAGCUAGUAUGUGUGUUGGAGAGACAGAUCUUUGAUUUCCUUGGCUACCAAUGGGCACCAAUCCUGGCCAAUUUUUUACACAUCGUCACAGUCAUUUUUGGCCUUUUUGGGACCAUCCAGUUCAGACAACGAUAUGUAAUCAGGUAUGCCAUCUGGAUGGUCCUCUGGGUCACAUGGAAUGUGUUUGUUAUCUGCUUCUACUUGGAGGUUGGAGGCCUUGCGAAGGAUACUGACCUGAUUAUGACUUUUAACAUUUCUAUGCAUCGGUCUUGGUGGAUGGAGAAUGGACCAGGAUGUGCAGUAGCGACUAUAACUGAUACUCCAGAAUGGGUACCAGAGGAUCACCGCUACAUUUAUAUCAGAGGGUGCCUCCUAGAAUACCAGUAUAUAGAGGUGGCACAUAGUUCACUACAAGUUAUCCUUGCACUUCUUGGAUUUGUUUAUGCCUGUUACGUGAUCAAAAUUGUUGCUGAAGAAGAGGACAGCUUUGAUUUCAUCGGAGGAUUUGACUCAUAUGGCUAUCAGGGCCCACAGAAAACAUCUCAUUUACAGUUGCAACCCAUGUACAUGCUACCUCCUGUUUAAUGAAGACAAGAAUCCCGUCUGCCUUCUUCACUACCCUGUCUACCUGUGCUGACACCUUCAGGGAUCUAUGGAUUUGUACACCAAGAUGACCCAUCACCCUGCUCAUCCACUGCAGAGAACCCAACCUUCUCCUAAGAGAAUGGUAAAGUACCAGUCCGUAUUGAAUUCACUGGCAAGGAGGCAUCAUCUGCAAUCACUGAAGGAGGGCAGGUUGUUGCAGAUCAUCAUCACCAGUAUUCAAAUCUUCAAUAGCGCUUUGUUAGAAUGCAUCAUCAUGGCAAGAUUUUUCUACAGUUCUAACUACUAUUCCAGAGUAUGAUGCAAAAAGGAGUACAGCUAUUGAAUCAGACAAUAGACCACUUAAUUGCCAUUAUGCAAAUGAAGUACAAACAGGGGCUGGAUAUUACAUAUCCUCAUGAAGUGUUGUUUUGGCACGGGGGUAUGAAGGUUUGGGUGCCUAGACCACUCUCUUUCCACCCACUUUAUAAUAUGGAGGGUGGGCAGGUGUUAGAAUCAACAGCUCUUCCACCAUCCAUAAGUGAAUAAUUAAGGGUUAAACUUAUUAAAAGCUCACUUCACCCCAUAAUACACUGCUCGUGACAAAAUACCGAUAUGUGGGCAAUGGGACAUGAACCAGGAGCCUACUUUUAAAUGUUUACAUGAAGAAAGGUGUGAAGAAAGGGGGCAACUCACUCAGGGCAUGCUCUGCAUGUUUCGAGGACGUUCCCCCUCAAAAGGAUACUGACUCACCUUUACUUCUGAUGCCCAAUUGAACCUGGGCCCUGCAGCCCCUCUCACCCCUCCCUGAUAUCUAGAAUCUCUACCACCCUUAAAGCUUGAAGAUUUACCCUUGAAAGCAGUAAUCCUCUUUGGGCUUCUUCCUGCCUACCCAUAGCUCCCACUACUUAACUCUGGUGUUGACAUAAAAGAUGGAACUGCCAAUUAAACAAGUUGCAGUAGUUUCUGAAGGCAGGACUUACUCCUAAGUGAAGAUCGGGAGUCCUACAAUUAACCAAUUUAACCAGCCCAUAAUUAUGGAUUGUUUUCCAGUGGAAGAGUUGGUUUCCAGCCGAUUUUUCUUCCCCUAACUUUCUGUCCCAUGUAUACAUUGACAAUGUUUAGCUUACAGCAUUGUCUUGAGCUGACUACAUUUGGGACAAACAACCCCUUUGUACAUUUAUGAAAUAUAAUUCUAUAGUCAUUUUGUGAGGAAGACUUUAGUUCAACAGCCACAUCAUCUAUGGCCAUGAUGAUUCCUUUUCCCCCAUCCUCCUUCCACAGCUCCAGUGGUCAAGCC